UGUAAAGUGCAUAACUAUAUAUAUACAAUACAUUAAUAUAUACGUUGAUGUAUAUGACCAUAUAUACACUUAUUAUUACUAUAUACCUUUAUUAACGUAUAUGUACACUGAUUUAUAUACUACACACACUCACUGUCACACUCACUCUCAUUCUCACCCUCACACUCACACUCAUACUCACUCACUCAUACACACACACACUCACACACUUACACUUACACUCGCACCAGCACUCUCACUCUCACUCGCACUCACACUGACAUUGACACUUACACACACUCACACUCACACUCACACUCACAAAUAUAUAUACUAUCACUUGUAAUCAAAUAUGCAAUUGCGAAAUUCCUUAUUACUUUGUAAAAAAUUAGGCAUAAGAAUGGGUUUCUUCUCUUG
Molecule: long non-coding RNA, 396 nt
Filed under: Amborella trichopoda
Lineage: Eukaryota; Viridiplantae; Streptophyta; Magnoliopsida; Amborellales; Amborellaceae
Description: long non-coding RNA (ATRI_LNC002546)
Source: RNAcentral